This is a long non-coding RNA of Physeter macrocephalus (sperm whale), 336 nucleotides long. RefSeq lists it as uncharacterized. The transcript has 4 exons. NCBI's taxonomy places the organism in Eukaryota, Metazoa, Chordata, Mammalia, Artiodactyla, Physeteridae. The record is from RefSeq and is a predicted model, not a curated record.
GAAGGCAGAGGUCCUGUAAUGUGUGUUUUGGAAACCAGAGUAAAGAGUUUGAUGGGAAACCACUAAAGAGACAAAUUAGAGACUUUGAAAAGAAUCACAUUGUGACGUCUUUUGGAUCUCUUUUAUGGGACCUACCUGCCUGCCUGCAGGCCGGACACUCUCCUCCCUGAGAUCUUCUUUUUCAAAAUGUCAGUUCAAGUCAUUUGACCCAUUUUUGCCAUGCUCACCGCAUUUGGAAAAGCACAGCUCUGGAGAACUGUUUAAGUCUGCAAAAGCUCAAAAGGAGAAAACGACUGGGUAUAUUUUGCCAACAUCUCUUCUAAACCCACAUUGCUG